This 1324-nucleotide unclassified non-coding RNA is filed under the name Athalia rosae (coleseed sawfly). RNAcentral's name for it is "misc RNA ENSAEAG00005011388.1". Lineage: Eukaryota; Metazoa; Arthropoda; Insecta; Hymenoptera; Athaliidae. The record is from RNAcentral.
AAACGACUUUGAAAAGGCUCGAGAAAUAAACUGGAGGUUGUGUCGCUCCACCUGCGGAUUAUCGGGUACUGACAGGGGAUAGCGGACGUCUAUUAAUUGAUUGGAAAUCCAUAGAAAUAUUGAAAAUGAUUCAGGAAAAAUAGGGGAAAGGAUAAAGAAUAAUGACAAUGCAGUGAAUCUUUAUAUUUCAGUCUAGGAAGCCAAGAUCUGAUUACAAACUCGAAUAACGACUGCAAACUGUGGAGAUGGAUUCGCAUGCAGAAAUGGGCAGAGAACGACCCAAGGACAUCCUGGAUUAUAUAUAUUCAUCCCUCUCGAUGCAGGAUAUGAAUGACAGGACCUUUUUCUCUGAACUGAAAUCAGGGAAAAAAAAGAUUGAAGGACCACGGACUCGUCGACACCCUGCAAAGGUAUGGAUGAUACCGGAUAAAUAGUACACAGAAAUCGGUUGAUCAUCCUCCGCUCAGGAUUUUGCGAAUCCAAUCUUCGAGUUAAAGGAAAGGUGGUAAUUCUUCCUCCGGUACAACCUCAUCGCCGCAGUCUCUUUCUUUGAUUUGAGCAUCCCUGUGUACAAAAUGAAAAACUGAAACCCAAAUAAUGAUCAUACUUACAUCAUUCAUAAAUGAUAAAAGACACUGAUAUUAUCCAAAAACACCUCGCCUGCAUCCCUCUCGUUUCGCCAUGGCGCCUACAAUUAUGUUGUAUACAUAUACUCGGUGAUCUUAUGAACCCAGUUAUCCUCUUAGAGUCGAAUCAACAGCCAAACAUCUUUCUCGUACUUUAGAUCUGAAGUAAUGAGAUUCUCCUCACCCCGAAUUAUCAGGUCCUCUUUGCUCAGGUGUCUGCAAUUGUCAUGCUUCGGUGUUUGCCUAAGCCUCAACAAUUCUUGUCCUAGGAGGCCCAGUCCAUUGUCUGAAUAAAAACAGCGUCAAGCCAAGCCAUUUUGGAGGAAAACUUCUUGAACCUGCUCGCUACAGAGGAUGAAUGUAUCAGAGAUUGUGAUAGGUGGAUUAAUACUAGCGGAAGGCAUAUUGGAAUAGAUACUUGUAUAAUUCGAGACGCUUUGAUAGAAAGUAGGAGCCUGCGGGUCCUCCCCUUGUCGAGUCUUUGUGGGGGAUGAUUUCAGUCCAGUAUGGAUCCUCUUGGAGGUUACCGGCAGCAUCUGGUAUGAUUCCUGUUUAGUGCGUGUCUUCCAAGGGCAGAAUAGAAUACCCUUGGUUUUCUCGAGCCAAAGAAUAGUUGCAUCAUGUUGCACAGAGCUGUACGGAGGCCUCCGAGAUGCAGGUAACCUGAAAACGGUAUCGGAGUGAAAAGGAUCACAUCG